ACCAGAUUGCUAGGCUGUGACCAUUAAUGAUUCUUAUGUUCUCUGCAGCAUCUUUAUUGCAAGUACUCUUAUUAUCUUCGAAGAGAAAUAAAGUAAUGAAACAUAUAGUUACAAUUCAACCUAUUUUUCAAAGGUUAACUGGACUAUAAGUAGAGAUGACUUGUUUAUUUUCCAUUAUUUCCUUCUUGAUUUUGACGUUCUCAUAUGCUUAUGAUGAAAACUGAAGUAGACUUAGUCACUCAAAAUUAUUUCUUUGGCAUUUAGUUAGCUGUUAUUUUGCUUUUUAAAGAUGGUAGCCCUAAACUAAGUUCUAAGCCAUUGGCAGCAGUAACAGUGAUAGCAUCUUUGUUGCUUUCUUGCAAAUUUAUAUCAUAUUACAGAAAGAAAUUAGAAGUACAUUUCUUUGAUUAAUUUUUCAAUCACCUGAAUACUCUCCUUACCUCUAGAUAUUGCUCAAUUAGUAUUUUUAUUGUUUGCACACUGUAAAUACACAUUAUUCAUGUUUUGUAAAGAGCAAUACAUCAGCAAUAUAAAAGCUAAGACAGUCCUACUAAUUCUUAUGUUAUUUUGAAGUGCUACUGGAAAAUACUGGAGAAGAACUUGACCCUAUCCUAAGGCCACUUUUACUCAGACAUUUAAGCAGUCAGGAACAUUUGCCUUGGAGAACCCACUAUCGAGUGUGCUCCUGAAUUCCACUUCAUAUUACAACUAAGCUGGGAAAUCCACAUUCUCUUCCUGAAACAUCUGUUAAGAAAUAUGAAGAUACAGGACGUGAAUGCCAGCUGACAAUACGCAUUCCCAGGGAAUGAUUGGUGCUGAAGAUUCUCAAGGACCAUUUUACCUACUCGCUUUAUGUCAAUGUCUGUUGUUCCCUCUUUGAGGACAAGCAGCUCUUCUCUUUCUGUCUCACAGUGGAUCUCCUGAAAUAUGUAAGAUUGAUGAUACAAAUGGUACAAGAAUUAAUCAUUCAAAGCCUGGGGUGUGCAACUCCUGAUAUUUACACUUUCUUCUGGUGCUGACUCCACGACAGCCCUUCUGUAGUUUGCUGCUGAUCAAGGAUUUUAAUAUCUCCAGACUUUUUUAACAUAG
This is a long non-coding RNA of Myiozetetes cayanensis, 1089 nucleotides long. RefSeq lists it as uncharacterized. The transcript is spliced from 4 exons. The record is from RefSeq and is a predicted model, not a curated record. NCBI's taxonomy places the organism in Eukaryota, Metazoa, Chordata, Aves, Passeriformes, Tyrannidae.